Long non-coding RNA from Brassica napus (rape), 1057 nucleotides. RefSeq lists it as uncharacterized. The record is from RefSeq and is a predicted model, not a curated record. The transcript has 3 exons. NCBI's taxonomy places the organism in Eukaryota, Viridiplantae, Streptophyta, Magnoliopsida, Brassicales, Brassicaceae.
GCAGAAAAGCCCUACAGUUUUAUUUAUCAUAAGCCGGGAAACUAGUUUCCUCCAAAACCCUAAUCUUCUUCUGAGAGACUCUUAACAUUGUGGGAUUUCUGAGAGACUUUGAGGUUAAUUAUGGAGAGGGGGCAUGUUUUUUCCGACUACGACAUGGAAUACUACGUGAACCGACUCAAGCAACUAAAAAAGCUGAAGCAAAUGCUGGUCAUAGGUAUCCUUGUUAAUGUUGCAGUGAUAUUGUUCGCCGGCUGGUACGGAGGUAUCAUAACAUUUCCAUUGUUUCCAAACUUAGCGUGGAGUAUGCCGCUUGUGCUUUUCAUGGCCAUGGAAGAAUAAAACUCGUGGAAGUAUAAUGACACUAUUUAGACGUAAGGAUGAUUAUAGCGUUUUCUUUUCUUUUUGGUUUUUGUUUAAAAUUUAUUUUUAUUUUUAUUUUUGAGUAGUUGUUUCCUCCAAAUAAAAAAUAGAAAAUUUAACAGCCAAAGAUUUGUCACCUUAAAGCAUUAACAAGCAAGCAAACAAACAAAAACAAUUUUGAUUAUGGUAGGAUGAUAAUUAGAUCUAUAUUGUUUUAUAGGAAAACUAGCAACUGUAGUAAACUUGGUGCAAGAGUCAAACAAAUGAACAAUUGUCAUUGCUUGUCGUUCUAAAAGCUAUGAUAAUCAUAAUGGACGUACAAGGAACAUUCUGAUUCAAGUUCACAAAACUACUAUAAUCAUCAGUGCAAUAGUCACACAAGGAGAAUCCUGAACAUUACUCACCCUCAUAAGCAUUUCUUAUCCCAUGCAUCACUAAUUCACUACAUAUUUACUUGUAAUAUAUCAAAGUGUAAAUGCGACAACCUUUAUCAAACUGUACAAUGGAAUUUUAGAGAAGGGGAGAAUACGAGACCUAAGAAGUUAGUUAAGUCUUUAGCACACUAUUGAACUACGGCGACUCUUUAAAUCAACUGAUACAGAGAUAAUGUAAUUAAUACCUCUUGAACUGGAUUUUUUCUUUGCUGCCAACAUAUCCAUCAAACUACGGUCAAACAAAAUGGUAACUAGAUUGGCCG